Molecule: long non-coding RNA, 876 nt
Organism: Choloepus didactylus (southern two-toed sloth)
Lineage: Eukaryota; Metazoa; Chordata; Mammalia; Pilosa; Megalonychidae
Exons: 3
Source: RefSeq, a predicted model, not a curated record
UGGUUAGACCCUUCUUAAAAGCUGGUUUGGAUAUACAACACAGUACCCCAUGUACUGCAGGCAGAAAGACCUUUAAGUCUAAUAUAGGAUUUAUCUCUCUUUAGAACUUGGGAGACGGUAAAGAGGCAUGAAGAAGAGAGGUGGGAAAAUGUCUUAGAGCCAAGGGAGAUAUAAUAUCAAGAUAAAAGAAUGACUGAUGAUGUCAAGUAUUAAAUAGAGAUUAUGGGAAAAUCCAUGGCAUUAGUGUAAACAGAACUUUUGUAGAAGUUAUUUUCAGUCAAGAUGUGGCAGAGAGAACCAGGGUUACCCGAGGAUUGUAAAGUGAGCCCGGAAGUCACCCAAGCUGGAAAGAGAAGACAUAGUCCCGUGUGGGAGAAGGAGAUAUGAGCCAAGGAGCUGCAGGGAUUACCGCCAGCACCAGAAACCACAGGCUCCAGGAGAAAGCAAGCUUUCCUGAUAUCUUGCUUCAAAACUGUGAGCCAAGAAAUUCCUGAUUUUUAAGCCAACGCAUUGUGUGGUAUUUUUCAUAGUAGCCUGGCAAACUAAGACAAUUUGUUUGUCUCCCUCAGUAGGGAUAUUGAAACUUCCAUGAUAAAAGAAGAGAACCAACUGAAAAAAGUCACAUUUUGCCCUGGCCCAUCUCUCCCCCUUCUACACCCACCACCACAUUUGAAUGCAGUUAUGAGAUCCGGAGCUGUGGCAACCAUCUUGAAGCCAUGAGGUGACAAAGACAAAAAUGGAGAAAUGUGAGAGAAAGAGCCACUCCAAGGUUUCCUUGGGUACUAGGUUGCCUAUCUCUAGACUUCAUGCUAUCAGAGAAAAUUAACUGUCACUUUUGCUAACUCUGUACUCUUUAGUCACUCUUUCUGUUAUUUG